This 1594-nucleotide long non-coding RNA is filed under the name Olea europaea (common olive). Its description in RNAcentral is "long non-coding RNA (OEUR_LNC015285)". Lineage: Eukaryota; Viridiplantae; Streptophyta; Magnoliopsida; Lamiales; Oleaceae. The record is from RNAcentral.
CACUAUCGCAGACAUCAUUAAAAUUAUUUAAAUCUGAUACAAAUCAAUUAAUUAUCGAAUCCCCCUUUCCAAUUCUCUUCUUUUCUUUCUUUUCUUGAAUUCAGAAACUGAACUGAAUCAGAUGAAAAAAAUUAGGAAUUAGGGUUAAGGUUCUGGGCGGUGCCUUUUAAAUUCCAAGCUUUUCGUAGGGAACACUUUUUGGUCCGUUGCUUUGCUUUGGAUGGGGUAGUUAUUGGGUUUUAAUGGAUACUUUAUCCUGGUUGUGGGACGCUAAAAGAGGGCGGUGGGGGUGUUCUACACGCGAUGAAGAAACCCAUGGAUUAGGAGUUCCCCGAGUCUUGGGUUUGAACUGCACUUAAAAAAAAAAUUAAUAAUUAGUACUGAAAAAAUUGCUAUUGAAGCCAACGUGGUCGCAAAUGAUUGAAUUGCUUUUAGCUUUUUCAUUUUAUCUUCCAAUCAAUUCCCGUCAUAUCUUAUUUGUAAAAAUUUUUUAUACUUAUAGCAUGAUUCAAUAAAUACUAUCUAGCACCAAUUUUGAUGCUUUCUGCAUAUCCAAGACGAAGUCCCUGUAGGCUCUUGAUAGCAGCGUCUAAAUUAUUGCCAGAUUCUUCCAAAACUUUCUCAAGAAGCUGCAAAACAUUUUUAGAAAUAAUCAGCAGUUAUUGAUUGUCUAAACAAUUAUGGUUAUCAGAAUUUGCUAAGGUAAGAAACAUUAAUAGGGCUAAGGUAAGAAACAUUAACAGGAGGAAUUAUAAGGUAUUUGUUUUGAAUAAAAUAACAGAAAUAACUAAGUAAAUGUUAAAGAGGUCCUCUGAACAUAUAAGUUAAGAAAAUCAGAAGGAUAAAACCCUGCAAGUCAAUCUGCUUUUCAGUAACGCAUAUUUCGCCAAGGAACAGCAUUUUUUAUUUUUUUUUUGGCAGUCAUACAAUAGAGAAAGAAAUUCAAGAAAAGGUUGUUGGCGAUUUUAGUUCUUCCAGAUACAAAAUUUAAUUUUUUUUAUUUUUAUUUUUGGUCAAUCAAAGCAUUGAAUACGCAAUUAAGAAAUAUUUUGUGUCGCCCCAAACCACCAUAAAACCUGAAGAAAAUGCGAAAAAAAUUAAUACAGAGGUGAACUAACCUGACUAUCCAUAUCAGGAAACAAAACCUUGAGCUGAUUGAUGAGACUCCUCGGCGGCGAGUAGGAGAACCGAACUGGGGAGGUGGCAGAAGAGCAGCGAAGUUUCUUGGAAACCGGCGGGGACCCCGACACUGGCGAUGACGUUGUUUGUAUCUCUUCGAAGAAAGAUCUCUUCCCACACACUAUCGCAGACAUCAUUAAAAUUAUUUAAAUCUGAUACAAAUCAAUUAAUUAUCGAAUCCCCCUUUCCAAUUCUCUUCUUUUCUUUCUUUUCUUGAAUUCAGAAACUGAACUGAAUCAGAUGAAAAAAAUUAGGAAUUAGGGUUAAGGUUCUGGGCGGUGCCUUUUAAAUUCCAAGCUUUUCGUAGGGAACACUUUUUGGUCCGUUGCUUUGCUUUGGAUGGGGUAGUUAUUGGGUUUUAAUGGAUACUUUAUCCUGGUUGUGGGACGCUAAAAGAGGGCGGUGGGGGUGUUCU